CCUACGGGUGGCAGCAGUGGGGAAUAUUGCACAAUGGGGGAAACCCUGAUGCAGCGACGCCGCGUGAGGGAAGAAGUACUUCGGGAUUUAAAGCUCUUUCAGCAGGGACGAAACAUGACGGUACCUGACGAGGAAGCUCCGGCUAACUACGUGCCAGCAGCCGCGGUAAUACGUAGGGGGCAAGCGUUGUCCGGAAUCAGUGGGUGUAAAGGGUGCGUAGGCGGCGGUGUAAGUCUGGUGUGAAAGGCGGAGGCUCAACCUCAGGACUGCACUGGAAACUGGAGUGCUUGAUGGCGGUAGAGGUAAGGGGAAGUCCUAGUGUAGCGGUGAAAUGCGUAGAUAUUAGGAGGAACACCAGUGGCGAAGGCGGCUUACUGGGCUGUAACUGACGUUGAGGCUCGAAAGCGUGGGGAGCAAACAGGAUUAGAUACCCCAGUAGUC
This 441-nucleotide ribosomal RNA is filed under the name uncultured bacterium. Its description in RNAcentral is "partial 16S ribosomal RNA". It matches the Rfam family "Bacterial small subunit ribosomal RNA", at positions 338 to 795 of the family's 1533-position model. The record is from RNAcentral.